CCGGGCCUACGGGGCGCAGCAGUGGGGAAUAUUGGGCAAUGGGCGCAAGCCUGAUGCAGCAACGCCGCGUGAAGGAAGAAGGCCUUCGGGUCGUAAACUUCUGUCCUUGGGGAAGAAGAACUGACGGUACCCAAGGAGGAAGCCCCGGCUAACUACGUGCCAGCAGCCGCGGUAAUACGUAGGGGGCAAGCGUUAUCCGGAAUUAUUGGGCGUAAAGAGUACGUAGGGGGCAACCUAAGCGCAGGGUUUAAGGCAAUGGCUCAACCAUUGUUCGCCCUGCGAACUGGG
Molecule: ribosomal RNA, 288 nt
Filed under: uncultured bacterium
Lineage: Bacteria
Description: partial 16S ribosomal RNA
Rfam family: Bacterial small subunit ribosomal RNA
Source: RNAcentral